GAGCAAGGCUGUGUCCAGAGAGAAAGAAAGUGAGAGAGAGAGAGUGAGAAGAAAACUAGCGUUCAGUAAGAAGUUACAGCAUAGCAGGCAUUUCCAUAUUCUUGAUCUCAGAACAAUCCUUUUUAUAGGAGGAGGAAUCUCUGAGGCUAAGUGAUUUUCCAAAAGGAAUAUAGCUAGUAAAUGGUUAUGCUAGAAUUUUAACUCAGGUCUGCCUACUUAUAAAACUCAAGUUUUAAUUAAUAUCUUAUUCUUACAUUUACAUGAUCCUUCAUUUAUUCAUUCAUUCAUUCGACCAUACCAGGAAAUGGGGUUCCAGCGGCAACCUAAGUAGGCACCAGCCAACCCUAUUGAAGCUUACUGUUUUGUAGAAGAGAGAGCCAAAAUCAAAUAAACAAAUAUAUGUCAUUAUUAAUUAUGGUAUAUUCUAUAAAGGAAACCAGUAGGAUGUUUGGAGAAAGAAUGAAAAGAUAUUGUAAAUGGGGCUUACUUUAGACAGAGGGAUCAGAUGUGUCAUCUUCGAGGAGGUGAGAUCAACGCUGAAAGCUGAAGGAUAAAAAUGAAUCAGUCCUGCAAUGAUCAGGGAGAAGAACAUGAAUAUUCUACUUCUUCAGCAAAAACAGAUUUCAUUUCAUCUAGAAUUCAUGGACCAUAAGGGCUCCCGAAGAAAAGUCAGAAGCAACAUUGCUUAGUAUAUGGCAGAGAUCAAACUAUGGCCGAGGACUAGCUUGGGACUGCCUGUGCUUCUCAUUCCUGUCUGAGGAAAGGUGGGGAGGGCUCAGAAGUGCACAGAGAGAAGGUGUUCGAUAUUGUAUAAUGUUUGACCUGCAGCCAUCUGUUCACUCAACUUAUGCAUUUACUUUUGUUCAAGCAACAAAUAUCUCUGGCUUCCCUACUAUGCCAGACACUCUCCUAUAUACAGAGGUGGAGAAAAUAAACUCUGUUCUCAUGGAGUUAACAGUGUGAAGGGAGAGAAACAACAAGGAAUAAAUGAAUAAAUAAAAUGCAUUUGUGGCAAAUGCUAUGAAAGGAAAAAUAGUACCUUGUGAAAUGAAGCUCUUCGAUGAAAACUUCUAAUGCAGGGGUGGAUGGUACUGGCAUGUAAUCCCCACAUUUUUUUUUUUUUUUUUGGUUGAGAACAAUAUUUCCACCACUCAGCGACAACCCUGAACUCCAACAAACCCUGUAGAAACAAAACAAGAAGAGGGCAAAAUCAAGUUUGUCACAGGGAUACACAUAGACGUCUCACAGCGGGAAUUUAAAACCCUGGUUUCUCAGGGGACUGUCUUUAUAUUCACCACCAGAGCACCUGAUGGGGUAAAACAAAGUAGGUGAUAACUAUCAUGGAUUUGGCACAACUGGGGACAGUGAUAGAGUCUGCACUUGUCAACAAGAUAGACAAGAAAACUGGGCACGAUUUUGACCAAAGAGAGCUAAGAAGGGCGAGUUACAGGGAUCAGAAAAACAGGGUAAUGAUGACCAAGUGCACGUGUCUGUAAUGUUUUCUUAUUCCCUGGUAACCUUAUGACAUAGUUCUAAUUCAACCACAAAUAUAACAGAGGAGCAUGAGCCUAUAAUAUGUCACGUAUUUUAUUAUGUUUUAUUAUAUGCCACAUUAAGUCUGUAUUUGUGGCCAAAAACAUAAAAUAGCACUGCUUUUAGACACAGCAAGAUUAUAUACUCCUACAGGAAAAGAGCUUUGGAAAGUUCAUCUAAUCUUCUUUGUUUUCCAAUUUGAAGCAGAGAUGAAUAACUGAAAGCUUUCAAUGUGGACAUCAGUGAGGACAUUUCUCCAGGACCUUUGCCUGAAAGACUUACCUGGGAUUCCUAGAGUUUUAAUUAUUCAUUCUUAGUAGGCCAUAGGGGUCAGCCUGUAUAGAGAAUCUGAAAACCAGAACAAGAUUAGAAGGUGGUAUCAGACUACUGUAUAUAGCAGAGUUUCCACAGUCAAACAUAAGGCUUGAAAUCCAAGCUUAACUAAUUGCUAUGUGAACUUUGGCCAAUUACUCAAGCACUAUAUUAGUCAGGACCUAACUGGGAUUCAGAUGCCACAUGAAUAUUUAAGCAGAAUGACUUUAAUGCAGAAUUUGCACAGGUGAUGAACCAGCUUAGAAGCCUAAUAGAAGAUAGCAAUUCUGACAUUAGCAAUAGCACGAGCCACCACUCCCUUAGACCAGAGGGAAAAGAGGGAGGGAGUGGUGAUGCUACAGCUAGAAGACUAGGAUUAUUUCAGAAGCUGGCUCCAUGGCAGGUCUCAUUGUCAGAAGCUGAAACCAAAGAAGAGAUGUAGACGCUGCAAGGGACACAGACAGAAACAAGGGGGUAGAAAGAUCUGCCUCCCUUCUAUUGGCUACCCCAAUCUCUCUUCAGUGUCUGCAAAUGACCAAAUCAAGCCAGAAAUUCACUGACACAGAAGCCUGGAGAACACAGGCUGAAGGUGUCAGCUGUCCUGCAAUAUAGAGCUCAGCUCAAUGUGGGCACGUGAUCCUGAGGUUGUUAUUCUUAAAACCGUCAUUGUCAAGAAAUAUUUAAAAUGUAGUCAGUGGUAUGCUGAUAAAUGUAUAACAAUUGACUUUCCUUGGGGAGAGCCCUGACUUGCGUAGCUGGUUCCUAUGGUGUGGAUACUUUCAUCAUGUCUAAUUUCCAACUGCCUAUGUGAAGGCACUGAACAUGGCACUGUGAAGAUUGGCUCAUACACGUGGGUAUAAGUUGGCUCUAGAACAACACUGAAAGUAGGCAUAUAAAGAAAAUAGCAGAAAUACUCUACAGAUCCAGUAGAAAAAAAAAAUGCCACUACUAGUGGUUGAAAAUUGCAGGGAAAUAGGGUUUGGGGCUCUCUUUAACAAAAACUACUAAAAUUUGGACUAUCCCCUUGUGAGUCCAUAUAUUCUUCACAAUUGGGGCCACAUUCACUAGAUACCUGGUAAUUCUUUACAGAUAUUUUUUACAAACUCUGUAUUGCACAGCCUUGAUGGUUCAUGUGUUUGCUAUCCAGAGAGGAAUCCCAAACUUCUAUAUUGUUUUGGAGCCAGGUUGUAAUCCCUUGUCUAUAUAACUUUUCCUGACAUUGGAGAGGUGACUCUCAAUAGGAAUUGUUUUGCAUCUCAUUUUUGAUGCUAUCUUGAUGCUUCCUCUUUUCCUUCCUUCAGUUUAUAUCAGACUGUUUCUCCCCGCAUGUCUCAUUACCUUUGUCAUCUUGUCAUUGAACAAAGCAAGGGGAAACUAACAUAGCUCUUCAGAGUGCUUAUGCUUGGGUUUCUGAUUUCUGACUCUAUGGUUAUGUGAAAGCCCUACAGCCAUCAAUAGACUAGUCAAUUCUUCUAAGGAGCAAUCCACAGACUUGUUGAAUUACUAUUGCUUUCGACAAUUUAGGAGGCAAUCUCUUGGGCACACAUCAAUCCUUGUACCUUAGUGUGGGAUUGGCAAGUCUGAAAACAUGCUAGAGAAUGCACACCUGGUAUCUGGAAAUACAAAUAUUCUAAUAUAUGGUCAAAUUUAUAUGAGUAAAAUAUCCUUAGCAAAAUGUGUCUCUUUUAUUUUCUCUGUUUUACAUAUUGUGUUGGAAUCAAUCAAGAGUUAGCCCAUUUAU
Molecule: long non-coding RNA, 3586 nt
Filed under: Homo sapiens (human)
Lineage: Eukaryota; Metazoa; Chordata; Mammalia; Primates; Hominidae
Description: HSALNT0224067
Source: RNAcentral